Molecule: non-coding RNA, 103 nt
Organism: Ceratotherium simum simum (southern white rhinoceros)
Lineage: Eukaryota; Metazoa; Chordata; Mammalia; Perissodactyla; Rhinocerotidae
Source: RefSeq, a predicted model, not a curated record
GAGAAGAGAAGGCCGUGGGUACUGUCUUGCUGAAGAUCUCAGAGCUGAGUUAGUUGAGAGCGAGGACCGGACUUGAACUGAUUCUGCUGCCACUUUGUUUUAG